This 597-nucleotide ribosomal RNA is filed under the name Thelephora duplexa. RNAcentral describes it as "Tomentella duplexa partial large subunit ribosomal RNA". It matches the Rfam family "Eukaryotic large subunit ribosomal RNA", at positions 35 to 610 of the family's 3401-position model. Lineage: Eukaryota; Fungi; Basidiomycota; Agaricomycetes; Thelephorales; Thelephoraceae. The record is from RNAcentral.
UAAGCAUAUCAAUAAGCGGAGGAAAAGAAACUAACAAGGAUUCCCCUAGUAACUGCGAGUGAAGCGGGAAGAGCUCAAAUUUAAAAUCUGGCGUGCCUCCGGCCGUCCGAGUUGUAGUCUGAAGAAGCGUUUUCCGUGUUGGACCGUGUAUAAGUCUCUUGGAACAGGGCGUCAUAGAGGGUGAGAAUCCCGUCUUUGACACGGACUACCAAUGCUUUGUGAUGCGCUCUCAAAGAGUCGAGUUGUUUGGGAAUGCAGCUCAAAAUGGGUGGUAAAUUCCAUCUAAAGCUAAAUAUAGGCGAGAGACCGAUAGCGAACAAGUACCGUGAGGGAAAGAUGAAAAGCACUUUGGAAAGAGAGUUAAACAGUACGUGAAAUUGCUGAAAGGGAAACGCUUGAAGUCAGUCACGUCUGCCAGGACUCAGCCUCGCUUCUGCUUGGUGCACUUUCUGGUUUGAUGGGCCAACAUCAAUUUUGACCGUUGGAGAAAGGCUUUGGGAAUGUGGCACCUUUGGGUGUGUUAUAGCCCUUUGUCAUAUACAACGGUUGGGAUUGAGGACCGCAGCAUGCCUUUAUGGCCGGGGUUCGCCCACGUAC